RNAcentral lists this transfer RNA (74 nucleotides) under Comamonadaceae bacterium. Its description in RNAcentral is "tRNA-Gln". It matches the Rfam family "tRNA". Rfam says of the family: Transfer RNA (tRNA) molecules are approximately 80 nucleotides in length. Their secondary structure includes four short double-helical elements and three loops (D, anti-codon, and T loops). The record is from RNAcentral. Lineage: Bacteria; Pseudomonadati; Pseudomonadota; Betaproteobacteria; Burkholderiales; Comamonadaceae. RNAcentral also lists the same sequence under 2 other names.
UGGGGGAUCGUCCAACGGCAGGACUCCAGACUUUGGAUCUGGCUAUCUAGGUUCGAAUCCUAGUCCCCCAGCCA